UGCAGUCGAACGGUGAACACGGAGCUUGCUCUGUGGGAUCAGUGGCGAACGGGUGAGUAACACGUGAGCAACCUGCCCCUGACUCUGGGAUAAGCGCUGGAAACGGCGUCUAAUACUGGAUAUGUGACGUGAUCGCAUGGUCUGCGUCUGGAAAGAAUUUCGGUUGGGGAUGGGCUCGCGGCCUAUCAGCUUGUUGGUGAGGUAAUGGCUCACCAAGGCGUCGACGGGUAGCCGGCCUGAGAGGGUGACCGGCCACACUGGGACUGAGACACGGCCCAGACUCCUACGGGAGGCAGCAGUGGGGAAUAUUGCACAAUGGGCGCAAGCCUGAUGCAGCAACGCCGCGUGAGGGAUGACGGCCUUCGGGUUGUAAACCUCUUUUAGCAGGGAAGAAGCGAAAGUGACGGU
RNAcentral lists this ribosomal RNA (408 nucleotides) under Microbacterium sp. LT6. Its description in RNAcentral is "bacterial SSU rRNA". It matches the Rfam family "Bacterial small subunit ribosomal RNA", at positions 56 to 476 of the family's 1533-position model. The record is from RNAcentral. Lineage: Bacteria; Bacillati; Actinomycetota; Actinomycetes; Micrococcales; Microbacteriaceae.